RNAcentral lists this transfer RNA (72 nucleotides) under Ovis aries (sheep). It matches the Rfam family "tRNA". From Rfam's summary of the family: Transfer RNA (tRNA) molecules are approximately 80 nucleotides in length. Their secondary structure includes four short double-helical elements and three loops (D, anti-codon, and T loops). Lineage: Eukaryota; Metazoa; Chordata; Mammalia; Artiodactyla; Bovidae. The record is from Rfam by way of RNAcentral.
UCCCUGGUGGCUCAGAGGUUAAAGCGCCUGCCUCAAAUGAGGGAGAACUGGGUUUGAUCCCUGGCUCGGGAA